CCUACGGGGGGCAGCAGUGAGGAAUAUUGGUCAAUGGGCGAGAGCCUGAACCAGCCAAGUCGCGUGAGGGAGUACUGCCCUAUGGGUUGUAAACCUCUUUUGUCGGGGAGUAAAAGCUGGACGUGUCCGGCUGUGAGAGUACCCGAAGAAAAAGCAUCGGCUAACUUCGUGCCAGCAGCCGCGGUAAUACGGGGGAUGCGAGCGUUAUCCGGAUUUAUGGGGUUUAAAGGGUGCGCAGGCGGAUUUUUAAGUUAGCGGUCAAAUCGUGGGGCUAAACCCCAUCCAGCCGUUGAAACUGGGGAUCUAGAGUGUGCUAGAGGUAUGCGGAAUGCGUGGUGUAGCGGUGAAAUGCAUAGAUAUCACGCAGAACACCGAUUGCGAAGGCAGCAGACCGGUGCACAACUGACGCUGAGGCACGAAAGCGUGGGUAUCGAACAGGAUUAGAUACCCUGGUAGUC
This 458-nucleotide ribosomal RNA is filed under the name uncultured bacterium. RNAcentral describes it as "partial 16S ribosomal RNA". It matches the Rfam family "Bacterial small subunit ribosomal RNA", at positions 338 to 795 of the family's 1533-position model. The record is from RNAcentral.